This is a long non-coding RNA of Macaca fascicularis (crab-eating macaque), 1235 nucleotides long. The record is from Ensembl. NCBI's taxonomy places the organism in Eukaryota, Metazoa, Chordata, Mammalia, Primates, Cercopithecidae.
AGGAAAUUAGGUUUAUUAUGAACAAUUUAUCAAUGUAUUUCUAAUAAAGUCUUCCCAUUAAUCUUAUUUAUACUGAACUUUACAUGUUUUUAGUAAUCAACUUCUGAAAAGAUCAGGAAAAAAGUUUUGAAUAGUAGAGAUCGGUGAACUUAUUCAUGUAAAUCUUUAUUAAUAUACGUAUUAAAGUGAUAUAAAGAUAAGUAAAAUGCUUCCCCUUAAUGAAAAAGAAAUACAUGAUUAUAGCUUAAAUUUAUACUCACCAUUUCAACUUUUACCAGUAGUUUGGGUGAAAAUAUUUAACUAGGUUGUGAUUUUAACAAUGGCAAUCAUAAUUUUUAAUUCACAGGCAUUUUGACAAUAUCCCUAUCGCCUAUUUUACUAGGCUCCUAAAUCUGGUUGUGGCAGAUUAUAUUUUCCAAAGAGAUGCUAGAGAUAUAUCCCAUCUGCCACGUGCUUCUUAAAAUAAGAUCUCCUCCCACAAAGAGAUGGGGAUCUGUGUUCUUUCCCCUUGAAUUUUUGUUACGGGGCCUGUGACUGCUGCUUGUACUAACAGGGUACAGGGGAAGUGAUGCUAUAGGACUUCUGAGGCCAUAAAGAGGAUGCAGCUCAUGGAUGAGUCACUCUCUUGGCACAGGAACCUUGGAAGCCCUAAACCGUCAUGGAAGACACCCAGCUGAAGUGAUCAUACUGGAGAGAACAUGUGGAGAGACAACAUGGAGACAGAGAAACAUGUGGGAGAAUCCUCAGCUGCUCCGGCCACCAGAUGCCUCAGUCUCUCUGGGACCAGAGGAGAAGUAUGGUAUUUUAUGAGAAGACAUGCUAUGAAUGAUGAAAGGCUCUAUUUCAGCAAGUCACAGGCAGAAAAGUCCAAAACAAUGGAAUAGAACUGCAGCAUUGUUGAAAGUAGGUACUUUUUUAUUAUUCUACAUACACUUUAAAAUCUAAAUAUUAUUGCUUUGUAUGAAAAGGUGGUCUGUACAUUUCUAUGCUAAAUAGCAUGCCUUCUUAAUAAUGUGUUUUGAUGGUUUGUUUAUAAGAGCAUAGGUACUCCUUGCUUUCAUUUUUACUAUCCAAAAAAUUAAACCAUCUGUAAGGCCCUCUACAACCAAAGCUCUCCUUUUCCCUCUAUCUGUCAGCAAGCACAAGGUGGGCUCUUGGGAAAGGACUUACCUUGCUUGUCUACUGCGGCAGCUCUGUUUUUCCCAGAUGGCUGCAGAUACACAGGCUGUACAGGA